Artibeus jamaicensis (Jamaican fruit-eating bat) is the source of this 822-nucleotide long non-coding RNA. RefSeq lists it as uncharacterized. The record is from RefSeq and is a predicted model, not a curated record. The transcript is spliced from 4 exons. NCBI's taxonomy places the organism in Eukaryota, Metazoa, Chordata, Mammalia, Chiroptera, Phyllostomidae.
CCCGCCCGCCUGCCUCCGAUGUGGGGGAGGGGUGGCGUGCACUAAAUAUAGAUUUCAAGGACUUGCUGGGGCAAAGAUUGCCCGCGCCGGCCGGUCGGGCCUCCCGAGCUGGACGGGGCUCCUCCGGGCCCUUUCUUUGCGGGGCGGUGCCGGGAGCUGGGGAAGGUUUGGAGAGGGACGCUCUGACGGAGUCAGGAGGCCGUUGUCCCGGGACACAAAAGGCUGGCCGGAGACAGUGCCCUGUGGUGUCAUCUGGCUUGGGACUGCUGCUGUGUGCCCUGGGACCAAGCACCUACCCUGAGCCCGGUGGAUCCAGCCCUGCGCAUCCAGAGAGGAAGCACGCGGUCCUCCUGGAGUUUCAGAUGUGCAAAGCGUAGGGAUGGGAGGGGGCUGAGCGUGUCAGGGUUGGAGGAACUGAGAGACUGGCGUGGCUGCAGCCCAGAGGACCCGCCCAGGACAGGAAGAAGCAAAAAACCAACAGAACGAAACAAAACGCCAUUGAGCACAGUGGAAACACCACUUUCAAUGAGGUUGUGGACAUCGCCCCACAGUCAUGUCACCGAUCUUUAGCUAGAGAACCCUCUGGAAGCAUCAAAGAGGUCCUGGGAUGGCCCAGUCUGUGGGCUGCCACCCUGAUGGCCGCCGCACUCGUGACGUCACAGGUGACAUCACAGAUGACCUCCGCAGUGGCACGCGCUGUGGGCCACCCAGCUAGUGAACAGCUACGGACAGAACUAUGUCAGUUCAAGGUCAUUUGAUAAUAAAUGCACAUAUUUGGUUUUCCUCACAUUUCCAUUUAGUUCCCACUUUGAGUGGUGUGAC